Glycine soja is the source of this 623-nucleotide long non-coding RNA. RefSeq lists it as uncharacterized. The record is from RefSeq and is a predicted model, not a curated record. NCBI's taxonomy places the organism in Eukaryota, Viridiplantae, Streptophyta, Magnoliopsida, Fabales, Fabaceae. The transcript has 2 exons.
CUCCUUUUAGUAAAUAGUUUACAAAAGAAGCCUACAGUGGUGCUUGCCUGAGUGUUUCUGGUGGUAAAAGAAAUUCACUCUUCAACUUCAAUCACACCCCUUUUUCUUCCACUCUUCUUCCCUCAAAUUUCAGUUCCUUCUCCUCUUUCUCACCCAAUGGUGUUUUCUCCAGAACUAAUGUAAAUGUAAACAUCCAUAAACCCUUUUGAUCAUUAGCUUAGCAUCAAACUGAAAUGGUGGGGAUGAUUGAUUAUGUAUAUAGGUUGCUUGUCAACGACACGUGCUCCUGUUGUUUGUGUAUGGCCCAAAGAAAGGCUUCAAGAAGCAGCAGUAAGGAAAAGAAUAAGAUCAUCAGGGUUGUCUCAACGGCUGGGACUGGAUUCUUUUAUGCCAUGAGGAAAAGCAGGAAGAUGGACAAGCUUGAGCUGAAGAAAUAUGAUCCAAAGGUAAAGCGCCAUGUUGUGUUCAGAGAAUCCAAAUAAAUUAAGUAUUCUUUGAUGAAUCAGGUUUAGACUAUCAGCUGCUCCAGUUGUAAUAUCAUCGCUGAUUCAUUGAUUUUAUUUCUAAACAAGAAUAUAUAAAUAUUGAUAGUCAAUUUAAUCUCGUUAUGUUAUUCACUUCAA